Molecule: ribosomal RNA, 479 nt
Filed under: uncultured Bacteroidota bacterium
Lineage: Bacteria; Pseudomonadati; Bacteroidota
Description: bacterial SSU rRNA
Rfam family: Bacterial small subunit ribosomal RNA
Source: RNAcentral
UAAGGAAUAUUGGACAAUGGAGGCAACUCUGAUCCAGCCAUCCCGCGUGUAGGAAGAAGGCCCUAUGGGUUGUAAACUACUUUUGUCAGGGAAUAAACCUCUCGAUUCACUCGGGAGCUGAAGGUACCUGAAGAAUAAGCACCGGCUAACUCCGUGCCAGCAGCCGCGGUAAUACGGAGGGUGCAAGCGUUAUCCGGAAUCACUGGGUUUAAAGGGUGCGUAGGUGGCAUCGUAAGUCAGAAGUGAAAGUUUGCGGCUUAACCGUAAAAUUGCUUUUGAUACUGCAAUGCUUGAAUCAGGUUGAGGUUGGCGGAAUGUGGCAUGUAGCGGUGAAAUGCUUAGAUAUGCCAUAGAACACCGAUUGCGAAGGCAGCUGACUGGACCUGUAUUGACGCUGAGGCACGAAAGCGUGGGGAGCGGAACAGGAUUAGAUACCCUGGUAGUCCACGCCCUAAACGAUGCUCACUCGAUGUGUGACC